RNAcentral lists this ribosomal RNA (468 nucleotides) under uncultured bacterium. RNAcentral describes it as "partial 16S ribosomal RNA". It matches the Rfam family "Bacterial small subunit ribosomal RNA", at positions 28 to 507 of the family's 1533-position model. The record is from RNAcentral.
GACGAACGCUGGCGGCGUGCUUAACACAUGCAAGUCGAACGGAAAGGCCCUGCUUUUGUGGGGUGCUCGAGUGGCGAACGGGUGAGUAACACGUGAGUAACCUGCCCUUGACUUUGGGAUAACUUCAGGAAACUGGGGCUACUACCGGAUAGGAGCUCCUGCUUCAUGGUGGGGGUUGGAAAGUUUCGGCGGUUGGGGAUGGACUCGCGGCUUAUCAGCUUGUUGGUGGGGUAGUGGCUUACCAAGGCUUUGACGGGUAGCCGGCCUGAGAGGGUGACCGGCCACAUUGGGACUGAGAUACGGCCCAGACUCCUACGGGAGGCAGCAGUGGGGAAUAUUGCACAAUGGGCGGAAGCCUGAUGCAGCAACGCCGCGUGCGGGAUGACGGCCUUCGGGUUGUAAACCGCUUUCGCCUGUGACGAAGCGUGAGUGACGGUAAUGGGUAAAGAAGCACCGGCUAACUACGUG